UACCAGCCGCCGCGGUAACACGGGGGGCGCAAGCGUUAUUCGGAAUUACUGGGCGUAAAGCGCGCGUAGGCGGCUAUUUAAGUCAGAUGUGAAAGUCCACGGCUCAACCGUGGAAGUGCAUUUGAAACUGGAUGGCUUGAGUACUGGAGGGGGUGGUGGAAUUCCCGGUGUAGAGGUGAAAUUCGUAGAUAUCGGGAGGAAUACCGGUGGCGAAGGCGACCACCUGGCCAGAUACUGACGCUGAGACGCGAAAGCGUGGGGAGCAAACAGGAUUAGAUA
Molecule: ribosomal RNA, 279 nt
Filed under: uncultured bacterium
Lineage: Bacteria
Description: partial 16S ribosomal RNA
Rfam family: Bacterial small subunit ribosomal RNA
Source: RNAcentral